AGAGUUUGAUCCUGGCUCAGGAUGAACGCUGGCGGCGUGCCUAAUACAUGCAAGUCGAGCGAACGGAUGAGAAGCUUGCUUCUCUGAUGUUAGCGGCGGACGGGUGAGUAACACGUGGAUAACCUACCUAUAAGACUGGGAUAACUUCGGGAAACCGGAGCUAAUACCGGAUAAUAUUUUGAACCGCAUGGUUCAAAAGUGAAAGACGGUCUUGCUGUCACUUAUAGAUGGAUCCGCGCUGCAUUAGCUAGUUGGUAAGGUGACGGCUUACCAAGGCAACGAUGCAUAGCCGACCUGAGAGGGUGAUCGGCCACACUGGAACUGAGACACGGUCCAGACUCCUACGGGAGGCAGCAGUAGGGAAUCUUCCGCAAUGGGCGAAAGCCUGACGGAGCAACGCCGCGUGAGUGAUGAAGGUCUUCGGAUCGUAAAACUCUGUUAUUAGGGAAGAACAUAUGUGUAAGUAACUGUGCACAUCUUGACGGUACCUAAUCAGAAAGCCACGGCUAACUACGUGCCAGCAGCCGCGGUAAUACGUAGGUGGCAAGCGUUAUCCGGAAUUAUUGGGCGUAAAGCGCGCGUAGGCGGUUUUUUAAGUCUGAUGUGAAAGCCCACGGCUCAACCGUGGAGGGUCAUUGGAAACUGGAAAACUUGAGUGCAGAAGAGGAAAGUGGAAUUCCAUGUGUAGCGGUGAAAUGCGCAGAGAUAUGGAGGAACACCAGUGGCGAAGGCGACUUUCUGGUCUGUAACUGACGCUGAUGUGCGAAAGCGUGGGGAUCAAACAGGAUUAGAUACCCUGGUAGUCCACGCCGUAAACGAUGAGUGCUAAGUGUUAGGGGGUUUCCGCCCCUUAGUGCUGCAGCUAACGCAUUAAGCACUCCGCCUGGGGAGUACGACCGCAAGGUUGAAACUCAAAGGAAUUGACGGGGACCCGCACAAGCGGUGGAGCAUGUGGUUUAAUUCGAAGCAACGCGAAGAACCUUACCAAAUCUUGACAUCCUUUGACAACUCUAGAGAUAGAGC
RNAcentral lists this ribosomal RNA (1023 nucleotides) under Staphylococcus aureus DAR5855. RNAcentral's name for it is "bacterial SSU rRNA". It matches the Rfam family "Bacterial small subunit ribosomal RNA", at positions 8 to 1012 of the family's 1533-position model. The record is from RNAcentral. Lineage: Bacteria; Bacillati; Bacillota; Bacilli; Caryophanales; Staphylococcaceae.